This 454-nucleotide ribosomal RNA is filed under the name uncultured bacterium. RNAcentral's name for it is "bacterial SSU rRNA". It matches the Rfam family "Bacterial small subunit ribosomal RNA", at positions 29 to 526 of the family's 1533-position model. The record is from RNAcentral.
AGCGAACGCUGGCGGCAGGCUUAACACAUGCAAGUCGAACGGGCGUAGCAAUACGUCAGUGGCAGACGGGUGAGUAACGCGUGGGAACGUACCUUUUGGUUCGGAACAACUGAGGGAAACUUCAGCUAAUACCGGAUAAGCCCUUACGGGGAAAGAUUUAUCGCCGAAAGAUCGGCCCGCGUCUGAUUAGCUAGUUGGUGAGGUAAUGGCUCACCAAGGCGACGAUCAGUAGCUGGUCUGAGAGGAUGAUCAGCCACAUUGGGACUGAGACACGGCCCAAACUCCUACGGGAGGCAGCAGUGGGGAAUAUUGGACAAUGGGGGCAACCCUGAUCUAGCCAUGCCGCGUGAGUGAUGAAGGCCCUAGGGUUGUAAAGCUCUUUCACCGAUGAAGAUAAUGACGGUAGUCGGAGAAGAAGCCCCGGCUAACUUCGUGCCAGCAGCCGCCGUAAAAC